GCCGGGCCUGGGGCCUGGGCCUGGGCCUGGGCCCGGGCCCGCGCGCGCCGGGAGCAGCAGCCCCGCUUCGAGGCGGCCUCGAGCCGCUGGGAGGCUUCAGGGAAUAACAUUCAUGGUGUUGAAGACUGAGGAGGACACUAAGCAAGACCAUACUGCCACAAGAAGAGAGAAGUGGAGAGAGCCAGGAAUGGCUCCAGGAAGGGCAAGAAACCCACUGCAGAAAUUGAAUGCAAGACCACAGGAUUUAGAUAUCUGACUUUUUUUAGUUUGAACUAAAAGACUAGGUCCCUCAGACUUAUAAAUUUAUUUCCAAAUCCAGCCAGUAUAAAGGGAUAAGAACAGUGGUUUAAUAUGGGUUACAGAAGGCUAUGAAGAAGAAUAAAGCUCCAUGUAUUUUUGUUAAAUAUGUGUUGUAAUGUACCUUGGAUAUUUGUGUGAUACAAUUGUUUCUUGCACAAUUGAUUCAGAGCACUGAACCCCUCUUUGUGAAAUUGCAUGGCUUAACAGCCAGGGUAUCACUUCUUUGGCUUUUAAACAAAAAGACCAGGCACCAGCACGUUCAUCACACAUGCAUACACAAACACACACACACACACACAGAAGCAUGAUGCAUUACAAACAUUCAAUUCAAAACAAAAAACCAGUGCAAUGAAGGGACUCAUUCCUCUCUCUUUUUUUGUUUUCUUGUCAUUGUACAAUCAACAGCAUUUCAUAAAGAAGUUUGAAUUUGCAGAUGUGGGAAUUCUGGGGAUUUCAUAACUAAUGUCAAUACAUUUACAGAUUCUCCUCUGAGUAGUUGGGAAGAGUAUUUGGGGAGGCAUACACCAAAGAGAGAUGGAGUGCUUCACACAGCUGCCAAGUUUUGUUCAGUUACAUGUUCGACAGUUUAUGCAAAUUGAAUAAGCUACUUUGCAUAUUUGCAAGUAAUCAUGAACUUGAGCUUUAAAAAACUGUGUGAGAUUUAGUAGUGGUGAAAGACAAGUUUCCCAUAAACACUCCCACCCAUCAUGCUCCUAUUCUGACCUGAUAGGGAACUUCUUUUCAGGGAUAAAAGAAGUAUUAUAGGGUAUAAACAUAUGUAGCCAAAUGAAGUGGAUCAGCUGUGUCAGGAUGUCCUAGUACAGCUAAUGUGCUUCAUUGGGCAAAAUAGAUGUUGCCCAUUGUCCCCAUCUCAUGUGGGGGCAACCAAAUAUCUUUUAGACCGAAAUAAAUUUCAGAUGUUUCUGGAUUGGCCUGGAUUCAAAAUAUAGGCCAAAAGCUCUGUAGCCCGUCAUCACUGUUAAAAAUCACUGAUUAUAAACUGCUAAGGCGGUGGAAGAGUGCAUAUGUAUUUGGGGAAAAUCUUGUAUUAAUUUUAGUGGAAUAAAUGGGCCUGGGCCCAAAGAGUCAAAGUUGCUAACUUGACUUUUUUGCUGUAUAACAUUUAAGAGUUGAACAAAACAAAGGGCUGCUAGUAGAGAGAUUUCAACCUGCUCAGUACUGUGACAAGCAGAAAUAAUUAAAAUUUGUUUUAAAACUUUUUUUUUAAAGGCAUUGAAAAAGAAGGUAAACCAUUUGAAAUGUAAAGUGUUAGGUAAAGGUUUCAGUUUAAUAAUGUUUCUUUUUCUCUAU
Molecule: long non-coding RNA, 1611 nt
Organism: Alligator mississippiensis (American alligator)
Lineage: Eukaryota; Metazoa; Chordata; Crocodylia; Alligatoridae
Exons: 3
Source: RefSeq, a predicted model, not a curated record